RNAcentral lists this ribosomal RNA (478 nucleotides) under uncultured bacterium. Its description in RNAcentral is "bacterial SSU rRNA". It matches the Rfam family "Bacterial small subunit ribosomal RNA", at positions 28 to 507 of the family's 1533-position model. The record is from RNAcentral.
GACGAACGCUGGUGGGCGUGCCUCAUACAUGCAAGUCGAGCGAGGCUUCGAGUCGAGCGGCGUACGGGUGAGUAUCGCGUGAGUAACCUACCCUAUAGUUGGGAAUAACCCCCCUAACGGGGGACUAAUACCGAAUAUUGAGUGGCACUGCAUAGUGCUUAGUCGAAAGGGCGCAAGCCCGCUAAAGGAUGGACUCGCGUCUGAUUAGCUAGUUGGAGGGGUAACGGCCCACCAAGGCGAUGAUCAGUAGCCGACCUGAGAGGACGAUCCCCCACACUGGUACUGAGACACGGUCCAGACUCCUACGGGAGGCAGCAGUAGGGAGUUUUCGGCAAUGGGGGAAACCCUGACCGAGCAACGCCGCGUGAGUGAUGAAGGUCUUCGGAUUGUAAAGCUCUGUUAUAAGGGAAGAACGGCAGCUAGAGGAAAUGCUAGCUGUUUGACGGUACUUUAUGAGAAAGCCACGGCUAACUACGUG